RNAcentral lists this long non-coding RNA (1098 nucleotides) under Glycine max (soybean). Its description in RNAcentral is "long non-coding RNA (GMAX_LNC000327)". Lineage: Eukaryota; Viridiplantae; Streptophyta; Magnoliopsida; Fabales; Fabaceae. The record is from RNAcentral.
ACAAAUUUUCCUACCUCAAUGAAGGCUAUAUAAGGUCUAUGUGCUACCAGGUAACAUUCAAUUUUUUUUGGUCAUGCAUUUUCCUCAUUCUUCUACUUAUUUGAGCAUUUGGGUGUUUGUAGGUGACCACCACCAUACCAUAUUAAAUUUUAUAGUAUAGUAAAGACAUCCGAAAAGUUUCCUUAAAAAUUGGUUUAUAAAGGGAUGACCUAUCCAAUUAUAUAAACACUUAUCAAGUUUGUUAAACAUCCGAUGUGAGAUUAUUCUCAACAGGAACUACAAAUUGGAGGCUUUCAUCACUCUACUACUAGAAAAUAACUAGGGUGUUAACAAGACUUUAUUAACAUCGAUUUUUAAAACAAAUCAAUAUUAACAAUUUCAUAUUAUUUAUGAAUAUAAUAUCACAUUUUUUUGUUAACAUCAAUUUUAUAAACCGGGUAACGAUGUUAAAAUGAUUUUUUGUAGUAGUGUUCCAACAAAUCGUCAUUGUGUACCUAUACCUCAACCACCACCCAUUGCAGGUACUACCAAUGUUGUUUAUAAUGUUACUACAUUUGCAGCGGUGACUUUUGUUGCUAAACUGGCUGUUAUAUCUUUCAACAGCAAUGAAACACCUUGGAGUAGGAAUGAUAAUUGAUGUAGAACACUUUACCCAAACGAGACUGGGAUAAAGCCACCGUGAUGAGCGUAGCAACCAUCCUAAUCCCCACACGUUCUCCAAGGUCUAUGUUUCCCAACCUGGACAUACUAUCUAAUCAAUACCUUCAUUCUCUAACAUAGUUCAUAACACAAUGAACUCUCACCACCAACUGCCACAUUAGUCAUUGUUGAUCAACACGACGACAGGAUAAUCUCGUUCAACUUAUCCUUUUUUUUGCAGUGUUCAGUUUUUAGGUUCCAAAGCAUAUUCAACAACUCCCUCUAUGGAAUUGUACUAUGGAACCAUGGAUCCAAAUGAUCAUCUCCAUGUUUUUUAGUCCAAUCUCUCUUAAAAUGGAGAGACAGGGUCUCUUAUGUACAGGGUGCUCCCCCUAUCAUUGAAAUAAACAACUUUGAAGUGGUGCCAAUCACACCCGGGUCGAUUGAUCAACUUGAAAA